CCAUACAGCAGACACGAGGCAGAGCCAAGAUUAGAACCCAUGACCUCCUGCAUCCCAGGCCCGUUCACUAUCUACUACGCCACACUGCUUCAUGGAAUCCAAAGGGCCCAGGACCAAGUAAUUGGUGGAAAUAGAAAGGAAGCUCUGGAUGAGAAACCCAGAUAGAAAGGAAGGUUCAGAAAUCUGUCCAUCAACACAGUGAAUUUCUCUGUGCUACCAGGCGAUGCAUGAGGAGCUCGACCUCUUUCCUGGCCCAAUAUGUGAAAAUGAGCCUCACUCCCUCAGAGUUAUUUCCGCCAGAUUGACCUUGAACUCAUCGGAAUGACUAAGGAAAGAAGGUUUAGACAUGUGAAUACAGGAAGAAGCCAGAGAAGCAAAAAGCAUGCCCAGCAAAUUUGAAGAUCAGACUGUGAAUCCACUGCAAAAUUUGAAUCUGACACCAAACAAAGAAACAUUCUCACAUUUGUGUUUAUUUGUCCUUGUAUGUGUUUUCCUGGAUUACGAUUAAUAAUGAUUAUGGUACUUGUUAA
This is a long non-coding RNA of Ornithorhynchus anatinus (platypus), 530 nucleotides long. RefSeq lists it as uncharacterized. The transcript is spliced from 2 exons. The record is from RefSeq and is a predicted model, not a curated record. NCBI's taxonomy places the organism in Eukaryota, Metazoa, Chordata, Mammalia, Monotremata, Ornithorhynchidae.